ACAAUGGGCGCAAGCCUGAUGCAGCGACGCCGCGUGAGGGAUGGAGGCCUUCGGGUUGUAAACCUCUUUUGUUAGGGAGCAAGGCACUUUGUGUUGAGUGUACCUUUCGAAUAAGCACCGGCUAACUACGUGCCAGCAGCCGCGGUAAUACGUAGGGUGCAAGCGUUAUCCGGAAUUAUUGGGCGUAAAGGGCUCGUAGGCGGUUCGUCGCGUCCGGUGUGAAAGUCCAUCGCUUAACGGUGGAUCCGCGCCGGGUACGGGCGGGCUUGAGUGCGGUAGGGGAGACUGGAAUUCCCGGUGUAACGGUGGAAUGUGUAGAUAUCGGGAAGAACACCAAUGGCGAAGGCAGGUCUCUGGGCCGUUACUGACGCUGAGGAGCGAAAGCGUGGGGAGCGAACAGGAUUAGAUACCCUGGUAGUCCACGCCGUAAACGGUGGAUGCUGGAUGUGGGGCCCGUUCCACGGGUUCCGUGUCGGAGCUAACGCGUUAAGCAUCCCGCCUGGGGAGUACGGCCGCAAGGCUAAAACUCAAAGAAAUUGACGGGGGCCCGCACAAGCGGCGGAGCAUGCGGAUUAAUUCGAUGCAACGCGAAGAACCUUACCUGGGCUUGACAUGUUCCCGACGGCCCCAGAGAUGGGGUUUCCCUUCGGGGCGGGUUCACAGGUGGUGCAUGGUCGUCGUCAGCUCGUGUCGUGAGAUGUUGGGUUAAGUCCCGCAACGAGCGCAACCCUCGCCCCGUGUUGCCAGCGGAUUAUGCC
Molecule: ribosomal RNA, 758 nt
Filed under: human gut metagenome
Description: bacterial SSU rRNA
Rfam family: Bacterial small subunit ribosomal RNA
Source: RNAcentral